UACGGAGGGUGCGAGCGUUGUCCGGAAUCAUUGGGCGUAAAGGGCGCGUAGGUGGCGGGACAAGCGUGCGGUGAAAGCUCGGGGCUCAACCCCGAGUCGGCCGUGCGGACUGUCUUGCUUGAGCACUGUAGAGGCAGGCGGAAUUCCGGGUGUAGCGGUGGAAUGCGUAGAGAUCCGGAAGAACACCGGUGGCGAAGGCGGCCUGCUGGGCAGUUGCUGACACUGAGGCGCGACAGCGUGGGGAGCAAACAGG
Molecule: ribosomal RNA, 253 nt
Filed under: uncultured bacterium
Lineage: Bacteria
Description: partial 16S ribosomal RNA
Rfam family: Bacterial small subunit ribosomal RNA
Source: RNAcentral